GAUGAACGCUGGCGGCGUGCCUAAUACAUGCAAGUCGAGCGAACAGAUGAGGAGCUUGCUCCUCUGACGUUAGCGGCGGACGGGUGAGUAACACGUGGAUAACCUACCUAUAAGACUGGGAUAACUACGGGAAACCGGAGCUAAUACCGGAUAAUCUAUUGAACCGCAUGGUUCAAUAGUGAAAGACGGUUUUGCUGUCACUUAUCGAUGGAUCCGCGCCGCAUUAGCUAGUUGGUAAGGUAACGGCUUACCAAGGCAACGAUGCGUAGCCGACCUGAGAGGGGGAUCGGCCACCUGGGAGUGGAGCCACGGACCAGACGCCUACGGGAGGCAGCAGUAGGGAAUCUUCCGCAAUGGGGGAAAGCCUGACGGAGCAACGCGGAGUGAGAGAUGAAGGUCUUCGGAGCGGAAAACUCGGUUAUUAGGGAAGAACAAAUGUGUAAGUAACUAUGGACGUAUUGACGGUACUUAAUAAGAAAGCAACGGCUAACUACGUG
This 497-nucleotide ribosomal RNA is filed under the name uncultured bacterium. RNAcentral describes it as "partial 16S ribosomal RNA". It matches the Rfam family "Bacterial small subunit ribosomal RNA", at positions 28 to 507 of the family's 1533-position model. The record is from RNAcentral.